RNAcentral lists this ribosomal RNA (582 nucleotides) under Pichia manshurica. Its description in RNAcentral is "eukaryotic LSU rRNA". It matches the Rfam family "Eukaryotic large subunit ribosomal RNA", at positions 67 to 667 of the family's 3401-position model. The record is from RNAcentral. Lineage: Eukaryota; Fungi; Ascomycota; Pichiomycetes; Pichiales; Pichiaceae.
AACAGGGAUUGCCUCAGUAACGGCGAGUGAAGCGGCAAAAGCUCAAAUUUGAAAUCUAGCACCUUCGGUGUUCGAGUUGUAAUUUGAAGAUGGUAACCUUGGGUUUGGCUCUUGUCUAUGUUCCUUGGAACAGGACGUCAUAGAGGGUGAGAAUCCCGUCUGAUGAGAUGCCCAUUCCUAUGUAAGGUGCUAUCGAAGAGUCGAGUUGUUUGGGAAUGCAGCUCUAAGCGGGUGGUAAAUUCCAUCUAAGGCUAAAUAUUGGCGAGAGACCGAUAGCGAACAAGUACUGUGAAGGAAAGAUGAAAAGCACUUUGAAAAGAGAGUGAAACAGCACGUGAAAUUGUUGAAAGGGAAGGGUAUUGGGCUCGACAUGGGGGGUGCGCACCGCUGUCUCUUGUAGGCGGCGCUCUGGGCGCCCUCUGGGCCAGCAUCGGUUCCUGCUGCGGGAGAAGGGGCUCCGGAAAGUGGCUCUUCGGAGUGUUAUAGCCGGGGCCAGAUGCCGCGUGUGGGGACCGAGGACUGCGGCUUCUGUCUCGGAUGCUGGCAUAACGGCGCAAUACCGCCCGUCUUGAAACACGGACC